GACGAACGCUGGCGGCGCGCUUAACACAUGCAAGUCGAACGGAAAGGCCUGCUUUCCCUUGUGGAUUGCGGGUACUCGAGUGGCGAACGGGUGAGUAACACGUGAGUGAUCUGCCCCCAACUUGGGUAUAAGCCUGGGAAACUGGGUCUAAUUCCCGAUAGGACUGCAGGGUGGUGCCUGUGGUGGAAAACGAUUUUCUAGUGGUUGGGGAUGAGCUCGCGGCCUAUCAGCUUGUUGGUGGGGUAAUGGCCUACCAAGGCGGCGACGGGUAGCCGGCCUGAGAGGGUGGACGGCCACAUUGGGACUGAGAUACGGCCCAGACUCCUACGGGAGGCAGCAGUGGGGAAUAUUGCACAAUGGGCGGAAGCCUGAUGCAGCGACGCCGCGUGGGGGAUGACGGCCUUCGGGUGGUAAACUCCUUUCGACCGCGAGGAAGCCACCUGGCUGGAAGGGUGGUGACGGUAGUGGUAGAAGAAGCACCGGCUAACUACGUG
This 494-nucleotide ribosomal RNA is filed under the name uncultured bacterium. RNAcentral describes it as "partial 16S ribosomal RNA". It matches the Rfam family "Bacterial small subunit ribosomal RNA", at positions 28 to 507 of the family's 1533-position model. The record is from RNAcentral.